Molecule: long non-coding RNA, 620 nt
Organism: Carya illinoinensis
Lineage: Eukaryota; Viridiplantae; Streptophyta; Magnoliopsida; Fagales; Juglandaceae
Exons: 2
Source: RefSeq, a predicted model, not a curated record
CUUCUAGAUGGAUAUAUGGAACUAAAAACAAAAAACAGAAAAAAGCGUCAGUCUUCUGCCUUCUAGAUUAUUAUAAUUAUCUUUCCAGUUUUUCCAAUUAAACUAAUCCGUCGCCAUCAUCAUCAUCCUCUAAUAAUGCAAUAGGAUGCUUCAAAGAAACUCCUAUUAAUUGCCAGCCUUUAUGAUCCUGCUGGCCCAGUUUCUUACAAUAUUGCUGGUCUUUUGUGAGCCUCUUUAAUUGGUUUAGCUCCUCUGAUCUUCAAAACGAUGUAUCAUUUGAGAACGCCGCCUAAGCAGCUGCUGCUUGUGCUGUUGCUUAUACUGAUUGUUUCAACGUCCCAGAUGCAAUUACCAGGAGGAGUUGCAGAAGCAAGGCCUAUUUCCUCAAUACCUCAACAAAGAUACUCAAAGAUUUUCUCGACGCUAGGAAUUGUUUGCAAGUGUUGUGAUGGAGACAAGGGUGAAUGCACAAGUACACGGACCGAGUCCUGCUCUAACCUCCAAUGUUUUCCCUGGAAACUAAACUAGCUACUCACUGCAUGUGGUUUUUGUUUUCUCUGGGUUUCUGUACAUAUAUUUACUGAUUGAUAUAUAUAAACCGGGUUGAUCCCAUUAUGCCA